AUUGAACGCUGGCGGCAUGCCUUACACAUGCAAGUCGAACGGUAACAGGUCUUCGGAUGCUGACGAGUGGCGAACGGGUGAGUAAUACAUCGGAACGUGCCUAGUAGUGGGGGAUAACUACUCGAAAGAGUGGCUAAUACCGCAUGAGAUCUACGGAUGAAAGCAGGGGAUCGCAAGACCUUGUGCUACUAGAGCGGCCGAUGGCAGAUUAGGUAGUUGGUGGGAUAAAAGCUUACCAAGCCGACGAUCUGUAGCUGGUCUGAGAGGACGAUCAGCCACACUGGGACUGAGACACGGCCCAGACUCCUACGGGAGGCAGCAGUGGGGAAUUUUGGACAAUGGGCGAAAGCCUGAUCCAGCAAUGCCGCGUGCAGGAUGAAGGCCUUCGGGUUGUAAACUGCUUUUGUACGGAACGAAAAGCCCCGGGUUAAUGCCCUGGGGUCAUGACGGUACCGUAAGAAUAAGCACCGGCUAACUACGCGCCAGCCGCCGCGGUAA
RNAcentral lists this ribosomal RNA (498 nucleotides) under uncultured bacterium. RNAcentral describes it as "partial 16S ribosomal RNA". It matches the Rfam family "Bacterial small subunit ribosomal RNA", at positions 30 to 523 of the family's 1533-position model. The record is from RNAcentral.